RNAcentral lists this ribosomal RNA (1022 nucleotides) under Micrococcus sp. PMS02. RNAcentral's name for it is "bacterial SSU rRNA". It matches the Rfam family "Bacterial small subunit ribosomal RNA", at positions 34 to 1080 of the family's 1533-position model. The record is from RNAcentral. Lineage: Bacteria; Bacillati; Actinomycetota; Actinomycetes; Micrococcales; Micrococcaceae.
UGCAUGGCGGGGGCUUACCAUGCAGUCGACGAUGAAGCCCAGCUUGCUGGGUGGAUUAGUGGCGAACGGGUGAGUAACACGUGAGUAACCUGCCCUUAACUCUGGGAUAAGCCUGGGAAACUGGGUCUAAUACCGGAUAGGAGCGUCCACCGCAUGGUGGGUGUUGGAAAGAUUUAUCGGUUUUGGAUGGACUCGCGGCCUAUCAGCUUGUUGGUGAGGUAAUGGCUCACCAAGGCGACGACGGGUAGCCGGCCUGAGAGGGUGACCGGCCACACUGGGACUGAGACACGGCCCAGACUCCUACGGGAGGCAGCAGUGGGGAAUAUUGCACAAUGGGCGCAAGCCUGAUGCAGCGACGCCGCGUGAGGGAUGACGGCCUUCGGGUUGUAAACCUCUUUCAGUAGGGAAGAAGCGAAAGUGACGGUACCUGCAGAAGAAGCACCGGCUAACUACGUGCCAGCAGCCGCGGUAAUACGUAGGGUGCGAGCGUUAUCCGGAAUUAUUGGGCGUAAAGAGCUCGUAGGCGGUUUGUCGCGUCUGUCGUGAAAGUCCGGGGCUUAACCCCGGAUCUGCGGUGGGUACGGGCAGACUAGAGUGCAGUAGGGGAGACUGGAAUUCCUGGUGUAGCGGUGGAAUGCGCAGAUAUCAGGAGGAACACCGAUGGCGAAGGCAGGUCUCUGGGCUGUAACUGACGCUGAGGAGCGAAAGCAUGGGGAGCGAACAGGAUUAGAUACCCUGGUAGUCCAUGCCGUAAACGUUGGGCACUAGGUGUGGGGACCAUUCCACGGUUUCCGCGCCGCAGCUAACGCAUUAAGUGCCCCGCCUGGGGAGUACGGCCGCAAGGCUAAACUCAAAGGAAUUGACGGGGGCCCGCACAAGCGGCGGAGCAUGCGGAUUAAUUCGAUGCAACGCGAGAACCUUACCACGGCUUGACAUGUCUCGAUCGCGUAGAGAUACGUUUCCCUUUGGGGCGGGUUCACAGUGUGCAUGAUGUCGUCAGCUCGUGUCGUGAGAUGUGGGGU